AUACACCCCCGCCCUUCUUCUUACCAGAGAGAUGUUUGUUUAUGUCGGCGCAAUGCGUGAAGAAUUCGGGUGGCCCACGUAUCCCGAGUGAGCCAUGUUUCCGUGAAACAGAAUGUUACAAUCUCUGACGUCUCUCUGAAAGGCAACCUUUGCUCGAAUUUCAUCUACCUUGUUGUCAAGAGACUGGACAUUGGCGAGUAGUAUACUCGUGAGCGAUGUGCCGGUCUACAGAGCCUGACCAGAAGACCGCUCCAUUUGCCCCUUCUGAGGCGCCGUUGUUUUGGGAAGCCUACUAGGAUCCGAUCCAUUGUCCUGGGUGUUGGUCCAAACAGAGGAUCCACUUCGGGAAAGUCGUAUUCCUGGUCGUAAUGUUGGUGUGAAGCGGCUUUCGGCAACCUUACUGGAGACGACAAGAAGUAAGACUAAUAUCUUAUUUAGAAUGUGCUGGAUGUUUGGCUCCUCUUCUGAUCACUGGGAUCCUGGUGUUCACAAUCAUCCAGUUUAAACCAGCCAGCUAUGAGGACUACGCGUAUCCCCAAUGGGCUCAGGGGAUUGGCUGGGUCAUCGCCACGGUGUCCAUCAUCUGGAUCCCCCUCAGAGCUCUUCUCACACUGUGGGUUCUGCCUGGCUUAAUCAAUGAGAUACUGAAUUACUAUAUACUCAUCUGUCAGUAUCUAUCUCUCUCUCUCUAUUCAUCUACCUACCUAUAGCAUUAUUGCAACUUUACUACAACACCUUGCAGCCUCCUCAAGAGGUUCUGGUGUAAUGGCUAAGCUAAGGUGUUGGACAGAAUUCCAUUUUUAUGUCCUUUUUGCCAUGUUUUAUUAAAGUUUUGUCUUCCUCCCCCGAGAGAUUAGUAAAGUUAAUCACCCCCUAUUCACCGGAGAAUGAGAAGUCAAAAGUACCAUACUACCUGGAGAUGGGAAGAGACAUACCCAAACAUAGCAGUCAUCAGCUGCUUUGCUCCUCUACCAGAGAAGCCUCACAUUCAGACAAACCUCUGAUACUGACUCUCCCUACUGAUGGCCUCUGUGCCUGUGAGGUAGGGACUAUGAUAGGCUUGGAGAGCCAGGUGAGGGUUCACUCUGUAUGUUGAGCUUGAUUCACAUUGGGACUGGAAACCAAACUGUGGACUGUCUGUGGCCUCAAGAACUGACCACUAUUGGUGUGGUUUAUACACCAAUAGUACAUCUCAAUACUGUAUUGAGAUUUAUACAGUAUUACAGAUUCAUCAAUGGGGACGUGGCUUGUUCUCCAAGUGAAUGUCAAGACCUUUUUUAAAACACUAUUAUAGUCAAUAAUGUGAAAACAAAUACACAGAAUUGAUAUUUUAUAUUCAAGAAGCUUACCUACCUCUGUUUUGAGUCGUCAGAAUGGAAUAUGAUGAGGAGUGGGUAGUGGUAAACAUGACGGAUAGACCUUAACUAACAUGUCCAUAUGUUGCACUGUCUGAGCUUUGGUAUUAUGUCACGUUUAAAAACAAUAUGCCACAUGUUGCCAUGGAUAAUCUAAGUCAAUGAUCUUAGAACUGGUUGUUAGGCUACAUAUGAUUAUUAUGUAAAAUAUCCAUUGCAAUCUGACAAAGGGUUACGUUCCGUGACUCAUAAAUGAUAAGUUACCGUUGUAAAAUGAUUGUAAAUGACAGUAUAUCAACAUUUAUUUGAUAUACUGUAUAUUAAAAAAAUACUAAAGGAAAAUGUUUGAAAGGAAAUUUAAUCAGGCAUAAUUAUGUCAAGUAUUAUAAAACCUCAAAAUAAUCAGGAUAUUGUCAUUGGAGUAGGAUAAAUACUGUACAACUCCUGUCAUGUUGUGUAAAGCAAAAAUAAAAAAGCCAACUGA
This is a long non-coding RNA of Oncorhynchus masou masou (cherry salmon), 1839 nucleotides long. RefSeq lists it as uncharacterized. NCBI's taxonomy places the organism in Eukaryota, Metazoa, Chordata, Actinopteri, Salmoniformes, Salmonidae. The record is from RefSeq and is a predicted model, not a curated record. The transcript has 3 exons.